RNAcentral lists this unclassified non-coding RNA (22 nucleotides) under Mus musculus (house mouse). Its description in RNAcentral is "oocyte_clustered_small_RNA369". The record is from RNAcentral. Lineage: Eukaryota; Metazoa; Chordata; Mammalia; Rodentia; Muridae.
UAGCAGUACAGUGGGAGGGGAC